RNAcentral lists this ribosomal RNA (497 nucleotides) under uncultured bacterium. RNAcentral describes it as "partial 16S ribosomal RNA". It matches the Rfam family "Bacterial small subunit ribosomal RNA", at positions 28 to 507 of the family's 1533-position model. The record is from RNAcentral.
GACGAACGCUGGCGGCGUGCCUAAUACAUGCAAGUUGAGCGCUGAAGGUUGGUACUUGUACCGACUGGAUGAGCAGCGAACGGGUGAGUAACGCGUGGGGAAUCUGCCUUUGAGCGGGGGACAACAUCUGGAAACGAAUGCUAAUACCGCAUAAAAACUUUAAACACAAGUUUUAAGUUUGAAAGAUGCAAUUGCAUCACUCAAAGAUGAUCCCGCGUUGUAUUAGCUAGUUGGUGAGGUAAAGGCUCACCAAGGCGAUGAUACAUAGCCGACCUGAGAGGGUGGUCGGCCACAUUGGGACUGGGACACGGCCCAAGAUCCUUCGGGAGGCAGCAGUAGGGAAUCUUCGGCAAUGGAGGAAAGUCUGACCGAGCAACGCCGCGUGAGUGGAGAAGGUUUUCGGAUCGUAAAACUCUGUUGGUAGGGAAGAACGUUGGUGAGAGUGGAAAGCUCAUCAAGUGACGGUAACUAACCAGAAAGGGACGGCUAACUACGUG